Molecule: ribosomal RNA, 419 nt
Filed under: uncultured eukaryote
Lineage: Eukaryota
Description: SSU rRNA
Rfam family: Eukaryotic small subunit ribosomal RNA
Source: RNAcentral
CCAGCAGCUGCGGUAAUUCCAGCUCCAAUAGCGUAUAUUAAAGUUGUUGCAGUUAAAAAGCUCGUAGUUGGAUUUCUGGCGGAGGCGUGGGUCCGUCCCCUCGUGGGAUGCGCACCCGUUCGUCCUCCGCCAUCCUCGCGGGAAAGGCUCGGGCGUUCACUCGUCCGUUCCGGCACCGCGUCAGUUACUGUGAAAAAAUUAGAGUGUUUAAAGCAGGCGUUUCGCUUGAAUACUUCAGCAUGGAAUAACACGAUAGGACUUCGGUGCUAUUUUGUUGGUUGCGUACCGAGGUAAUGAUUAAUAGGGAUAGUUGGGGGUAUUCAUAUUUCAUUGUCAGAGGUGAAAUUCUUGGAUUUAUGAAAGAUGAACAACUGCGAAAGCAUUUACCAAGGAUGUUUUCAUUAAUCAAGAACGAAAGU